CGGAAAGAGAGAGAUUCGAA
RNAcentral lists this transfer RNA (20 nucleotides) under Callicosta andersonii. Its description in RNAcentral is "Pilotrichum andersonii partial tRNA-Ser". Lineage: Eukaryota; Viridiplantae; Streptophyta; Bryopsida; Hookeriales; Callicostaceae. The record is from RNAcentral.